UACGUAGGGGGCGAGCGUUGUCCGGAAUGAUUGGGCGUAAAGGGCGCGUAGGCGGCCUGUCAAGUCAGUAGUGGAAGUCCAUCUUUCAAGGAUGGAAGUGCUACAGAAACUGAUGGGCUUGAGUGCAGGAGAGGUUAUCGGAAUUCCCGGUGUAGCGGUGAAAUGCGUAGAGAUCGGGAGGAACACCAGUGGCGAAGGCGGGUAACUGGACUGCAACUGACGCUGAGGCGCGAAAGUGUGGGGAGCAAACAGGAUUAGAUACCCCGGUAGU
This 271-nucleotide ribosomal RNA is filed under the name uncultured prokaryote. RNAcentral describes it as "partial 16S ribosomal RNA". It matches the Rfam family "Bacterial small subunit ribosomal RNA", at positions 524 to 794 of the family's 1533-position model. The record is from RNAcentral.